RNAcentral lists this non-coding RNA (581 nucleotides) under Pan troglodytes (chimpanzee). Lineage: Eukaryota; Metazoa; Chordata; Mammalia; Primates; Hominidae. The record is from RNAcentral.
GUGCAGCGCGCCCGCCAGACCGCCCAGGAGGCGGCGGCUAUUGUUCCCCGCAGGGGCCCGGGGCGCCCUGAAACGGGGUCCACGUCAGCCCGCUCCCGAGCGUGUCCUCAGAUCUGGGGACCCUUCACCUGCCUCUACUACUGCAAAUGAUUGGAUAUUCGUCUGCCUUGGCUCUUCCCUAAUGUGUGGAACUAAUUUUGUUCACUCUGUUUCAUGCUGGACCUGGCCUGAAAAUGGGCCCUUAUAUUGUCUUUGCACUUUCCAACUUGCCAAGUUUCUGAAAGAAGGACCAAAGUAAUGCCAAGAACUCCCAGAUGAAGAGGACCUUCCUUAGACCUAUAACAGAUUCACUACUUGACUUUAGAGGGAAGUUUCAGCUAAUUCUCAGGAAAAGGUCAAAACAGGCCUGUGACUGUCCCUUGAAUACUGAAGGUAUAAACAAGCUUCUGGCUCCUCCAGGUCAAGCAGAGGAACACUUUUAUUAGAAUGAAGGGUUACUUCUUUGUUAUUCAAACACACACCCACACACAUCCUCUGUAGUCUCCCUAAUGAAAAACCUCAACAGAUGGAGAGCCUGAGCU